Chinchilla lanigera (long-tailed chinchilla) is the source of this 1797-nucleotide long non-coding RNA. RefSeq lists it as uncharacterized. The record is from RefSeq and is a predicted model, not a curated record. Lineage: Eukaryota; Metazoa; Chordata; Mammalia; Rodentia; Chinchillidae. The transcript is spliced from 3 exons.
ACAAAUCUAGGUAAGUGCUCUGAAAAAAAAUACAACAUUCUCUAAAAGUGUACAGUAAAGAAACCUGAGCUACACUGGAGUUGGCAGUGGUCAGCAGAAUAAAAUUUCCCUACAGAGAUGACUUAGGCUGAGAGCUGAACUGAGCUGUCUCAGUGGUAUGUAGUGGGUGUACUUGAGGUAUGUACGGAGCAGAGGAUGUUUUAAAGGGAUUACACGUGCAAAGGUCUAAAGAGGAAGAGGUGCUUUCCUGAUCAAGAAAUGGGAAGAAGGCCAGUGUGGCUGGAGCACAGGAGUUGAAGGGACAGGUGACAGAAAGUACUAGACAAGGAGUCAUCGUUUGUGUAAUAGCGCUGCUCUUUAGCCUAAAAGCAGUGGAGUAAUGUGUAUGUGUGUGUGAGUGUGUGUGCGUGUGUGUGUGUGUGUCUGUGUGUGUGUGUCUGUGUGUGUGUGUUUACCCAUUCUGGUAGCAGUGUAGACAGAUGUUUGGCAGGGUGUACAAAGCAGAUGUAGAUAAACAGCUUGGAAGUUUUGCAGUGUUGUGAAUGAGAUUUUAUGGCAGCUCAGAUUAGAGUAGGGAAGUAGAAAUAGUGAAAAGAAAACGGAUUCUAGAGAUACUCUUGAGGUUUCUAAUGGAUUUGAUGUGGGGAAGAAGUAUCACAGGAGAUUUCUUAGGUUUCUGGUCUAUGUAACUCGAUGAAUGGUUAUGCCUGUAACUAAAAUUGGAAACAGUGCAAAAGGCCAUACACUGAAAGGAAUAUCAUGAGUUUGUUCUUACAUAUCUGUGUUUGGGACAUCAAAGUGGAGAAUUUAGGGAGGCAAUUGGAAAAAUACAUCCAAAACUCACCAAGAUAUUAUGAAUUGAAGAUGUAAAAUAGAAUCCUCAAUGCCUAGAUUAUUACUAGGAAAAUAUUCUGAGUCAAGAGUUCUGAAUGAGUAGAGAAUUCUCUGUGAUGAGUCCUUCGGGAACCCCAAGCAAAAGAAGAUGUGCAGAAUAAAUCUGAAAAGAAGUAAGAAAAAGGAUGUGAAAGUCCAGGAGAUCAUGGUGUCACAGACUCAGUGGGAAGAGGGAAGAAUUUCAAGAAUGAAGUAGUCACGGCUGCCGAUCACCCCCAAGGAGGUCAGGCAAGGAAGUGGUUAUUAUUAUCCUCGUACUUCACUUGAAGAAAAUGGACCCAGAAGAGAGGAAUGAACUGCCCAAGUUUGGCUAGAUUAAAUCACGGUGGAGCUGGGCUCGAAUUUGUCAAGGUCUUUAGGUCAUGGGAGAGAGCGCUUGAAGGGGAUUAAGGGGUCCUAAUGCCCUUCUCAUUCACUUUUGCUUCCUGGCUGUGAAAUCAGUGGGUUGCUUUGCCACAGACUCUCCACCACUGCCAUUGGGCGCCUUCAUCAGAAGACCAAAGCAAUGAGUCUGUUGGAGAUAAAGCUCCAAAACUGUGAGCAAAAAUGAACCUUUUAUUGAUAAGCUGAUUACCUCAAGUAAUGAUUUCAGUUGUGGAAAGCUGAGGAUGGACAUACCAGAAAGUCCCUAUGGGCAAACUAUUGGCUACUGUUUGUGCUUGAAUUACCUUGAGCUCUUGGUACUGUAAUUACUGUAAGAAUAUCAGGAAAACACACCUUUUUCUCCAAAGAAAAUCGCUAUUAAAGGGCAGAAGAUGGUAGAUAGCCUCCCAGAGGUAGUAAAGCAUACAUUCUGUCCGAUGGACAGCUCGUGGUCAACUUGCAAUACCCAGCUGAACUUAAUAAGAGUGGUGCUGGGUGUGGGAGGCCCACCUGAGGAUUGUUGCUAGCAGCAUAAGAGGC